Molecule: long non-coding RNA, 860 nt
Filed under: Struthio camelus australis
Lineage: Eukaryota; Metazoa; Chordata; Aves; Struthioniformes; Struthionidae
Description: lncRNA (ENSSCUG00000014219.1)
Source: RNAcentral
AUGAGUUCUCCGUGCUUUCUGAAAAGCAGACUGAAGCAGAGUUGUGGCAGCUGCUGCUUCUCCUGCUUUAGAGGAGGAAAUAAGUAAUUCUGCUCUUGAAAGAUUUAAGGAUUUUCUUCUGAAUCUCAUUCUCCACCAGCAUAAAACAAUAGGAAUUUCCAGAGUCCUGAUUAAAUUACUGGCGUCUGUUUCCCUUACGUUGGCCAACAGAAAGCGUUUCAUUAUGAAGGCACCCCCCUCUCUGUGCAUAGCUGAAGCAAAAGCCAGAGUUUUGAUUUUAGUGAAGGCUGAAGCCUACUUAUUUUGUCAAGAAGUUGUAAGCGUGAUCGCUGCACUCCUGCCUUCCUUGCAAAGGACACCCCGGAGAGAGCAACAAAUAGAAAAAAAAGAGAGCUUCCCAGCACGAGGAACCCUGGGAUACUUAUCUGCGUGCUUGACCCAGUGCAAAAAUACUGACAGCCAGGCUGUGUUUUGGCCUCAGCAUGGCUCCUGGCUGCCUGGUCUGGGCUAUUUCAGUCUGCGAGGGUACUCUGCAAAGCGGAGAAAAGAAGCCAAGGAUGAAAAGGGAAAUGACUGGUCUACUGUUGCAUUGGGAGGCUGUGCUAGGACACAGAAGAUUCAGAAGAAAGAGACCGGGUUGGUAGUUUUGCAAUGUAAUGAAUUCUCACAGGUAGUGAGCUGGUGUAGAUGGUGAUUUUAGAGCAUAUACAUCUAGCACUGCUGCUAUCUCUGUAUUCCAGCUCCCCGCUCAGCCUCUGUUGCCCAGGUUAGCUGAGAGCUGUGAAAGACGUCAGCUUCCUCUGGACUAGCGCUGGCCUGAGAACGCUUCCGCGUUCUGACUGCUGCCCUCCUUUUUGCAG